This is a long non-coding RNA of Numida meleagris (helmeted guineafowl), 201 nucleotides long. The record is from Ensembl. Lineage: Eukaryota; Metazoa; Chordata; Aves; Galliformes; Numididae.
GGGGCUGUCCAGCUUAAAGAAAGAGGAGUGAAAUCAGAUUUGCUAUCUGACAGACUUCUUGCUGGUGGUGGUUGGAAGGACUUUGCAAGUCUCAUUUGCAGUUUUCCCACUGUUUCCCUGAACAUCUGCAAGACAGCCCAUCUGGGUUGACACAGUGUGAGAUGAGGCAGACAGGCAUUGCCAACAAAGGGCUCCUACUGC